This 446-nucleotide ribosomal RNA is filed under the name uncultured bacterium. RNAcentral's name for it is "partial 16S ribosomal RNA". It matches the Rfam family "Bacterial small subunit ribosomal RNA", at positions 338 to 795 of the family's 1533-position model. The record is from RNAcentral.
CCUACGGGAGGCAGCAGUCGAGAAUCAUUCACCAUGGGGGAAACCCUGAUGGUGCGACGCCGCGUGGGGGAAUGAAGGUCUUCGGAUUGUAAACCCCUGUCAUGUGGGAGCAAAUUAAAAAGAUAGUACCACAAGAGGAAGAGACGGCUAACUCUGUGCCAGCAGCCGCGGGAAUACAGAGGUCUCAAGCGUUGUUCGGAAUCACUGGGCGUAAAGCGUGCGUAGGCUGUUUCGUAAGUCGUGUGUGAAAGGCGCGGGCUCAACCCGCGGAUGGCACAUGAUACUGCGAGACUAGAGUAAUGGAGGGGGAACCGGAAUUCUCGGUGUAGCAGUGAAAUGCGUAGAUAUCGAGAGGAACACUCGUGGCGAAGGCGGGUUCCUGGACAUUAACUGACGCUGAGGCACGAAGGCCAGGGGAGCGAAAGGGAGUAGAGACCCUUGUAGUC